Molecule: long non-coding RNA, 539 nt
Organism: Engraulis encrasicolus (European anchovy)
Lineage: Eukaryota; Metazoa; Chordata; Actinopteri; Clupeiformes; Engraulidae
Exons: 3
Source: RefSeq, a predicted model, not a curated record
CAGAGAGGGUCUCUGCACUCAUAAGCUGGUCCUAUAUGCCAUCUAUUGGCGAAAACGUGCAACAGCAUAAUUAAACUAAAAGACAACUUCUGACAGGGCAACAAAAAGACAGGGAAUGAGAAUAAGGGAAUGAUAAGGGAAUAACAAAAAGACAAAAAUAGAGGGUUCACACUACACUUGCAUACAAACUGAUUGUGAUGCUGUCACUCAUUUUCUAGUCUAUAUCUUGGACUUAAAAACAUUAUUAUGUUUUCAGGUGUUUUGCCCCUGCAGCUGUGAAGAGGAUGCUGUGGAGGUGGCAACGUGAACGUGUCACACAGACAUUGGCUAAACUACUCGGCUUCUACACUUGCCCUCAGAGUUCACAUGGUGAAGUGCACAGGUGUCCAGCCAGGUCCAGACUGAUGAUGGUAACAAGAGGAAAACAUGCUGAUUGGCAAGUGAGAACCCUGCUCAACAAAAAUCCACACAGCAUAACAAGAAUGAUUCAACGAUGGACAUUGUGCUUAAUUGUGGAAAAAAAUAAAUGUCAAAACGUC